GCCUUGAAAGCUAAGCAGACACAGCACUUGGUCUUGUAAAUCAAGAGAGAGGGCUAAAAUCCCUCUCAAGGCU
Molecule: transfer RNA, 73 nt
Filed under: Araeosoma splendens
Lineage: Eukaryota; Metazoa; Echinodermata; Echinoidea; Echinothurioida; Echinothuriidae
Also listed under: 1 other name
Description: tRNA-Thr
Rfam family: tRNA
About the family: Transfer RNA (tRNA) molecules are approximately 80 nucleotides in length. Their secondary structure includes four short double-helical elements and three loops (D, anti-codon, and T loops).
Source: RNAcentral